AACGAACGCUGGCGGCAGGCCUAACACAUGCAAGUCGAGCGGACCCUUCGGGGUUAGCGGCGGACGGGUGAGUAACGCGUGGGAAUAUGCCCUUCUCUACGGAAUAGUCCUGGGAAACUGGGGGUAAUACCGUAUACGCCCUUUGGGGGAAAGAUUUAUCGGGGAAGGAUUAGCCCGCGUUGGAUUAGGUAGUUGGUGGGGUAAUGGCCUACCAAGCCGACGAUCCAUAGCUGGUUUGAGAGGAUGAUCAGCCACACUGGGACUGAGACACGGCCCAGACUCCUACGGGAGGCAGCAGUGGGGAAUCUUAGACAAUGGGGGCAACCCUGAUCGAGCCAUGCCGCGUGAGUGAUGAAGGCCUUAGGGUUGUAAAGCUCUUUCAGCUGGGAAGAUAAUGACGGUACCAGCAGAAUAAGCCCCGGCUAACUCCGUG
RNAcentral lists this ribosomal RNA (433 nucleotides) under uncultured bacterium. RNAcentral describes it as "partial 16S ribosomal RNA". It matches the Rfam family "Bacterial small subunit ribosomal RNA", at positions 29 to 507 of the family's 1533-position model. The record is from RNAcentral.